CGCCUCGAGCUAAGAUUCAAGGUCGUGCCUGCCCGGUGAUUACUUAAACGGCUGCCGUAAUUGGUGCAAAGGUAGCAAAAUCUAUUGCCCCUUAAUUGGGGGCGUGUGAAUGGUUUGACGUGGGGCUGCCUGUCUCAGGUGGAAAAAAAGAAAUUUACCUCUAGGUGCAAAGGCCUAGAUAGCAGGGUUGGACGAGAAGACCCUGGGAGCUUCACCGGAAGGUUUGGUUGGGGCAACCCGGGAUAAACAUCCUGUUUAACCGAUAGGAGAUCCCCUAAGGGGGAAAUUGGAAAAAGCUACCCCAGGGAUAACAGCGCUAUCCCCCCUGAGAGUUCUUAUCGACGGGGGGGCUUGCGACCUCGAUGUUGAAUUAGGGUAUCUCUAAGGCGUAGAGGCUUUAGAAGUUGGUCUGUUCGACCAUUAAAACCCU
Molecule: ribosomal RNA, 430 nt
Filed under: Entodesma navicula
Lineage: Eukaryota; Metazoa; Mollusca; Bivalvia; Lyonsiidae
Description: partial 16S ribosomal RNA
Rfam family: Bacterial large subunit ribosomal RNA
Source: RNAcentral